GAAGUUAGCAAUAACUUUCUAGUGGCGAACGGGUGAGUAACGCGUAGACAACCAACCUUUUUGUGGGGGACAACACUUCGAAAGGAGUGCUAACACCGCAUACGCUCUUGAUGCCGCCUGGUGUUAAGAGGAAAGGAGCUUUACGGCUUCGCAAAAAGACGGGUCUGCGUCUGAUUAGCUAGUUGGAGGGGUAACGGCCCACCAAGGCGACGAUCAGUAGCCGGUCUGAGAGGAUGGACGGCCACACUGGGACUGAGACACGGCCCAGACUCCUACGGGAGGCAGCAGUGGGGAAUCUUCCGCAAUGGACGAAAGUCUGACGGAGCGACGCCGCGUGAGUGAUGAAGGCCCUUGGGUCGUAAAGCUCUGUCAUCAGGGACGAACGGUCACGUCAGGAAAUGGGCGUGAAUUGACGGUACCUGAGAAGGAAGCCACGGCUAACUACGUGCCAGCAGCCGCGGUAAUACGUAGGUGGCGAGCGUUGUCCGGAAUUAUUGGGCGUAAAGCGCGCGCAGGUGGGAUCUUAAGUCUGUUCUGAAAGUUCGGAGCUUAACUCCGUGAUGGGAUGGAAACUGGGAUUCUUGAGUAUCGGAGAGGAAAGCGGAAUUCCCCGUGUAGCG
RNAcentral lists this ribosomal RNA (620 nucleotides) under uncultured Bacillota bacterium. RNAcentral describes it as "bacterial SSU rRNA". It matches the Rfam family "Bacterial small subunit ribosomal RNA", at positions 72 to 680 of the family's 1533-position model. The record is from RNAcentral. Lineage: Bacteria; Bacillati; Bacillota.